AGCUUGCUGGGGGGAUUAGUGGCGAACGGGUGAGUAACACGUGAGUAACCUGCCCUUAACUCUGGGAUAAGCCUGGGAAACUGGGUCUAAUACCGGAUAUGACUCCUCAUCGCAUGGUGGGGGGUGGAAAGCUUUUGUGGUUUUGGAUGGACUCGCGGCCUAUCAGCUUGUUGGUGAGGUAAUGGCUCACCAAGGCGACGACGGGUAGCCGGCCUGAGAGGGUGACCGGCCACACUGGGACUGAGACACGGCCCAGACUCCUACGGGAGGCAGCAGUGGGGAAUAUUGCACAAUGGGCGCAAGCCUGAUGCAGCGACGCCGCGUGAGGGAUGACGGCCUUCGGGUUGUAAACCUCUUUCAGUAGGGAAGAAGCGAAAGUGACGGUACCUGCAGAAGAAGCGCCGGCUAACUACGUGCCAGCAGCCGCGGUAAUACGUAGGGCGCAAGCGUUAUCCGGAAUUAUUGGGCGUAAAGAGCUCGUAGGCGGUUUGUCGCGUCUGCCGUGAAAGUCCGGGGCUCAACUCCGGAUCUGCGGUGGGUACGGGCAGACUAGAGUGAUGUAGGGGAGACUGGAAUUCCUGGUGUAGCGGUGAAAUGCGCAGAUAUCAGGAGGAACACCGAUGGCGAAGGCAGGUCUCUGGGCAUUAACUGACGCUGAGGAGCGAAAGCAUGGGGAGCGAACAGGAUUAGAUACCCUGGUAGUCCAUGCCGUAAACGUUGGGCACUAGGUGUGGGGGACAUUCCACGUUUUCCGCGCCGUAGCUAACGCAUUAAGUGCCCCGCCUGGGGAGUACGGCCGC
This 800-nucleotide ribosomal RNA is filed under the name Arthrobacter pascens. RNAcentral describes it as "bacterial SSU rRNA". It matches the Rfam family "Bacterial small subunit ribosomal RNA", at positions 77 to 889 of the family's 1533-position model. The record is from RNAcentral. Lineage: Bacteria; Bacillati; Actinomycetota; Actinomycetes; Micrococcales; Micrococcaceae.